CCUGAGAAACGGCUGCCACUUCCAAGGAAGGCAGCAGGCGCGCAAAUUACCCAAUCCUGACACAGGGAGGUAGUGACAAUAAAUAACAAUACAGGUCCUUCUACAGGUCUUGUAAUUGGAAUGAGAACGAUUUAAAACCACUAUCGAGUAGCAAUUGGAGGGCAAGUCUGGUGCCAGCAGCCGCGGUAAUUCCAGCUCCAAUAGCGUAUAUUAAAGUUGCUGCAGUUAAAAAGCUCGUAGUUGAAUUUUGGGACUUGGGAGGUCUGGUCUGCCCACUGUGGUAAGUACUGGCUUCGCGGUUCUAAUUCUUCGUGCGGGUUCAGUCCUCACGGGCUGGGCUUUGCUGGAGAAUGUUUCCAUCUCAUUGCAGCCUCCUGCACUUAAUUGAGUGGGAGUGAUUUCUGUAUGGGAUCGUUUACCUUGAGAAAAUUAGAGUGUUCAAAGCAGGCAAUUCUUUUUCUUGGGGAGGGCGGGCGUGGGGCAACCUGCGUCAGUUUUCUUCGAGCUCUAAGCCAUUGAAUACUUCAGCAUGGGAUAAUAAAACAGGACUCGAUUCCUAUUUUGUUGGUUUCUAGGAAAAUGGGUAAUGAUGAAUAGAAAUAGUUGGGGAUAUUAGUAUUUAAUAGCUAGAGGUGAAAUUCUUGGAUUUAUGAAAGACUAACUUCUGCGAAAGCAUUUAUCAAGGAUGUUUUCAUUGAUCAAGAACGAAAGUUAGGGGACGAAGAUGAUCAGAUACCGUCGUAGUCUUAACCAUAAACUAUGCCGACCAGGGAUUUGGGGACGUUACAUGGAAGACUUCCUGAGCACCUUGAGAGAAAUCAUUGAGUCUUUAGGUUCUGGGGGGAGUAUGGUCGCAAGGCUGAAACUUAAAGGAAUUGACGGGAGGGCACACCAGAAGUGGAGCUUGCGGCUUAAUUUGACCCAACACGGGAAAACUUACCAGGUCAAGACAUAAUUAGGAUUGACAGAUUGAGAGCUCUUUCUUGAUUUUAUGGGUGGUGGUGCAUGGCCGUUCUUAGUUGGUGGAGUGAUUUGUCUGGUUAAUUCCGAUAACGAACGAGACCUUAACCUGCUAAAUAGUCACGCGAACCCUUCCGCUAUGUGGUGAAUCUGGGGUUGUGAGUCUGUGCGGUGAUCGCCUCCUACGGGAGGUCGUGGGCUUUCGGGUCACGAUCACAGCCAGGCCGACGCCAGAGAAUCCAUUGAUGAGUUCGUGGAUGUACUUCUU
This 1228-nucleotide ribosomal RNA is filed under the name metagenome. Its description in RNAcentral is "SSU rRNA". It matches the Rfam family "Eukaryotic small subunit ribosomal RNA", at positions 395 to 1412 of the family's 1831-position model. The record is from RNAcentral.